RNAcentral lists this transfer RNA (77 nucleotides) under Bryobacterales bacterium. Its description in RNAcentral is "tRNA-His". It matches the Rfam family "tRNA". Rfam says of the family: Transfer RNA (tRNA) molecules are approximately 80 nucleotides in length. Their secondary structure includes four short double-helical elements and three loops (D, anti-codon, and T loops). Further hydrogen bonds mediate the characteristic L-shaped molecular structure. tRNAs have two regions of fundamental functional importance: the anti-codon, which is responsible for specific mRNA codon recognition, and the 3' end, to which the tRNAs corresponding amino acid is attached (by aminoacyl-tRNA synthetases). tRNAs cope with the degeneracy of the genetic code in two manners: having more than one tRNA (with a specific anti-codon) for a particular amino acid; and 'wobble' base-pairing, i.e. permitting non-standard base-pairing at the 3rd anti-codon position. Lineage: Bacteria; Pseudomonadati; Acidobacteriota; Terriglobia; Bryobacterales. The record is from RNAcentral.
GCUGGCGUAGCUCAGUCGGUUAGAGCGCCUGAUUGUGGAUCAGGAGGUCGGAGGUUCGAACCCCCCCGCCAGUACCA